GGAUGGGCCCGCGUUGGAUUAGCUAGUUGGUGGGGUAAAGGCUCACCAAGGCGACGAUCCAUAGCUGGUCUUAGAGGAUGAUCAGCCACACUGGGACUGAGACACGGCCCAGACUCCUACGGGAGGCAGCAGUGGGGAAUAUUGGACAAUGGGCGAAAGCCUGAUCCAGCAAUGCCGCGGAGUGAUGAAGGCCCUAGGGUUGUAAAGCUCUUUUACCAGGGAUGAUAAUGACAGUACCUGGAGAAUAAGCUCCGGCUAACUCCGUGCCAGCAGCCGCGGUAAUACGGAGGGAGCUAGCGUGUUCGGAUAUACUGGGCGUAAAGCGCACGUAGGCGGCGUCGUAAGUCAGGGGUGAAAUCCCGGAGCUCAACUCCGGAACUGCCCUUGAAACUGCAAUGCUAGAAUCUUGGAGAGGCGUGGAAUUCCGAGUGUAGAGGUGAAAUUCGUAGAUAUUCGGAAGAACACCAGUGGCGAAG
RNAcentral lists this ribosomal RNA (476 nucleotides) under uncultured Sphingomonas sp. Its description in RNAcentral is "bacterial SSU rRNA". It matches the Rfam family "Bacterial small subunit ribosomal RNA", at positions 223 to 720 of the family's 1533-position model. Lineage: Bacteria; Pseudomonadati; Pseudomonadota; Alphaproteobacteria; Sphingomonadales; Sphingomonadaceae. The record is from RNAcentral.